This 253-nucleotide ribosomal RNA is filed under the name uncultured bacterium. Its description in RNAcentral is "partial 16S ribosomal RNA". It matches the Rfam family "Bacterial small subunit ribosomal RNA", at positions 524 to 776 of the family's 1533-position model. The record is from RNAcentral.
UACGUAGGGUGCAAGCGUUGUCCGGAAUUAUUGGGCGUAAAGAGCUCGUAGGCGGUCCAUCACGUCGGGAGUGAAAAGCUGGGGCUUAACCCCAGUCCUGCUUCCGAUACGGGUGGACUAGAGGUAGGCAGGGGAGAACGGAAUUCCUGGUGUAGCGGUGAAAUGCGCAGAUAUCAGGAGGAACACCGGUGGCGAAGGCGGUUCUCUGGGACGGUACUGACGCUGAGACGCGAAAGCGUGGGGAGCGAACAGG